AAGUCUCCUGAAGGAAGGUUGAAGACGACGACGUUGAUAGGCCGGGUGUGUAAGCGCAGCGAUGCGUUGAGCUAACCGGUACUAAUGAACCGUGAGGCUUAACCUUACAACGCCGAAG
RNAcentral lists this ribosomal RNA (118 nucleotides) under Salmonella enterica. RNAcentral's name for it is "partial 23S ribosomal RNA". The stretch from base 1 to 106 matches the Rfam family "Bacterial large subunit ribosomal RNA", at positions 2820 to 2925 of the family's 2925-position model. The record is from RNAcentral. Lineage: Bacteria; Pseudomonadati; Pseudomonadota; Gammaproteobacteria; Enterobacterales; Enterobacteriaceae.